UACCUACGGGGGGCAGCAGUCGGGAAUAUUGCGCAAUGGAGGAAACUCUGACGCAGUGACGCCGCGUAUAGGAAGAAGGUUUUCGGAUUGUAAACUAUUGUCGAUAGGGAAGAAAAAAGACUGUACCUAUCAAGAAAGCUCCGGCUGACUACGUGCCAGCAGCCGCGGUAAUACGUAGGGAGCGAGCGUUGUCCGGAUUUACUGGGUGUAAAGGGUGCGUAGGCGGGUAAGCAAGUCAGAAGUGAAAUCCAUGGGCUUAACCCAUGAACUGCUUUUGAAACUGUUUUUCUUGAGUGAAGUAGAGG
Molecule: ribosomal RNA, 305 nt
Filed under: uncultured bacterium
Lineage: Bacteria
Description: bacterial SSU rRNA
Rfam family: Bacterial small subunit ribosomal RNA
Source: RNAcentral